UACGUAGGGUGCAAGCGUUGUCCGGAAUUAUUGGGCGUAAAGAGCUCGUAGGCGGCCUGUCACGUCGACUGUGAAAACCCAGGGCUCAACCCUGGGCCUGCAGUCGAUACGGGCAGGCUAGAGUGUGGUAGGGGAGACUGGAAUUCCUGGUGUAGCGGUGAAAUGCGCAGAUAUCAGGAGGAACACCGGUGGCGAAGGCGGGUCUCUGGGCCAUAACUGACGCUGAGGAGCGAAAGCGUGGGGAGCAAACAGG
Molecule: ribosomal RNA, 253 nt
Filed under: uncultured bacterium
Lineage: Bacteria
Description: partial 16S ribosomal RNA
Rfam family: Bacterial small subunit ribosomal RNA
Source: RNAcentral